Molecule: microRNA precursor, 88 nt
Filed under: Marmota monax (woodchuck)
Lineage: Eukaryota; Metazoa; Chordata; Mammalia; Rodentia; Sciuridae
Source: RNAcentral
GUGUGUGUGUGUGUGUGUGUGUGUGUGUGUGUGUGUGUAUAUAUAUAUACCAGUUUAUACACACACACACACACACACACACACACAA